AUUGAACGCUGGCGGAAUGCUUUACACAUGCAAGUCGAACGGUAGAGGGGGGCAACCCCCUUGAGAGUGGCGAACGGGUGAGUAAUAUAUCGGAACGUGCCCAGUCGUGGGGAUAACGUAGCGAAAGUUACGCUAAUACCGCAUACGAUCUAAGGAUGAAAGCGGGGGAUCGCAAGACCUCGCGCGAUUGGAGCGGCCGAUAUCAGAUUAGGUAGUUGGUGAGGUAAAGGCUCACCAAGCCAACGAUCUGUAGCUGGUCUGAGAGGACGACCAGCCACACUGGAACUGAGACACGGUCCAGACUCCUACGGGAGGCAGCAGUGGGGGAAUUUUUGGGACAAUGGACGCAAGUCUGAUCCAGCCAUUCCGCGUGCAGGAUGAAGGCCUCGGGUUGUAAACUGCUUUUGUACGGAACGAAAAGGUUUGUCUUAAUACGAUGAGCUCAUGACGGUACCGUAAGAAUAAGCACCGGCUAACUACGUGCCAGCAGCCGC
This 494-nucleotide ribosomal RNA is filed under the name uncultured bacterium. RNAcentral's name for it is "bacterial SSU rRNA". It matches the Rfam family "Bacterial small subunit ribosomal RNA", at positions 30 to 518 of the family's 1533-position model. The record is from RNAcentral.